This 1168-nucleotide long non-coding RNA is filed under the name Mustela putorius furo (domestic ferret). RNAcentral describes it as "lncRNA (ENSMPUG00000024074.1)". Lineage: Eukaryota; Metazoa; Chordata; Mammalia; Carnivora; Mustelidae. The record is from RNAcentral.
GCAUUUUGCUAAUCAUUUUAUCCCCUUUUAAGUCUUCCCAGUCACCUGGUGAGAUACUUUCUUGAUCUCAUUUCAAAGGUGGAAAAACUGAACCUCAGCAAGGCUAAGUGUUUUGCUGAGGAUUUUACAUCUAAAAUCCAUUCUCUAUUCUUGCUUACUAACAGGUCUCCAAUUUUGUUUGAGUUUGCAGUGAGCUCAGCUGAAAAUACUGAGCUGCUAGCCUAACACAAUUCAGGCUGGCCACAUGACCAGUUAUGGCCAAUUCAGUUGAAGCAGAGAUUGCUAUUCUAAAGGAAGACUCAACAGAACAGGACUUUUCAGCCUUUUGACCCUCAUCUUUCCUCUUUUCUUCUCCCAAAUUAGCAGGUGAAGCCUGUGUGGGUAGUAGUCAUCUCAUAACCAUGGCUGAAAACCACAAGCUAAGAAUGGCAGGACAGGAGGCUAGGAGAAGCCUGGACCUGAGGAAAUUCUUGAAGACUGCACAAGCCCAUGUUUACGCAAUACAAGAUGACUCCUGCCCUUCUAGGAAGAAUCUCUUACUAAAAUGAAAGGUAAAUUCUGUGGUCAUUUACUAUCUUUGUUGUUUCCAACUUCAUUUAAAAUAUGUUUUCUUUAAAAGAGCUUCAAUGAUUCUUGCAAAUAAUACAGAUGGCAAAAGCACAAAGGAACUCAUUUAUCACAUUAAAGUGGUUUCACAAUAGCUUCAUCAAAAAGAGUUAAAUGAGAAUUUUUCAUUUUCAAAAUUAUGUGUACCUAAAAUAGAAUCAUAAAUAUGCUAUCAUAGAUCUAAAGAAAGACAAGAUCUCUUCUGAAAUUAUAACUAUUUAUUUUUUGUUCAGAAAAUAAUUUGCAUUAUUUUGAAACAAAUGAAAGGACUGUAUAUUAAAGAAAUGUAAGUUUAGCUGAUUUCAUACGAUAAGUAUUCAAUAAGAUGAGCAUCACCUGAGUAAGAGUCUUCGGUUAAAUAGUUCCAAAUCUGUAAUCUCUAUAUAGUAUGGUAAAGAUUGCUUGGUGUUUAUUAUAGCUGUAAACAUUUAAUGGCUGAUAAUUAAAUAAACAGCAUCCAUACCGAAUCCUGCAAGACUUAAUUAAACAUAGCAUACUGCAGAUGUGAGAUUUAUAUUACUAUUUAUAAUUAAAUGUAAAACACAAUUGCUCAUAUGAGUCC